UUUAUUUUUUUUUCCACAAAUCUUUAUAAUAACAGUUAGCCAUCGAGAGACAAUCACCAAAACUGCAAGACCUCAAGCUUUUAAAACAAGCAGUGACUGGGAGAAUGAUAAAAGAGAUGCAUCUGCACCAACAGUUAACAAUAAAAAAGGGAAGGCUAGUGAAACAAAACACGGCAAAAAGAAGGUUUAACAGGGCACACCAAAGAUGGCUGAGUUAGAAAGAUUGGGUAUAGAUAUUGGUGACAAGUGGAAAACUCUGGGAAGAUGCUUAAAAGUAUCAGAGCAACUCGAAAUAAUCGAUGCGCGAUAUAAUAUUCUUUCUGAAAAAGCCUUCUAGAUGCUUCAAUACUGGACCCAGAAAAGAGGUUCCUCUGCGACCUACA
Molecule: long non-coding RNA, 383 nt
Organism: Pocillopora damicornis (cauliflower coral)
Lineage: Eukaryota; Metazoa; Cnidaria; Anthozoa; Scleractinia; Pocilloporidae
Source: RefSeq, a predicted model, not a curated record